GUCGAACGAACUUAAUCGAAAGUUUACUUUUGAAGCGGUUAGUGGCGGACCGGUGAGUAACGCGUAAGUAAUCUGCCUAUCAGAGGGGAAUAACAGUGAGAAAUCAUUGCUAAUACCGCAUAUACUAAUUUUAUCACAUGAUGAAAUUAGGAAAGGAGCAAUCCGCUGAUAGAUGGGCUUGCGUCUGAUUAGUUAGUUGGUAGGGUAAAGGCCUACCAAGACGAUGAUCAGUAGCCGGACUGAGAGGUUGAACGGCCACAUUGGGACUGAGAUACGGCCCAGACUCCUACGGGAGGCAGCAGUCGGGAAUAUUGCGCAAUGGAGGAAACUCUGACGCAGUGACGCCGCGUAUAGGAAGAAGGUCUUCGGAUUGUAAACUAUUGUCGUUAGGGAAGAGAAAGGACAGUACCUAAGGAGGAAGCUCCGGCUAACUACGUGCCAGCAGCCGCGGUAAUACGUAGGGAGCGAGCGUUAUCCGGAUUUAUUGGGUGUAAAGGGUGCGUAGACGGGAAAAUAAGUUAGUUGUGAAAUCCAUCGGCUUAACUGAGGAACUGCAACUAAAACUGAUUUUCUUGAGUACUGGAGAGGAAAGUGGAAUUCCUAGUGUAGCGGUGAAAUGCGUAGAUAUUAGGAGGAACACCAGUGGCGAAAGCGACUUUCUGGACAGUAACUGACGUUGAGGCAC
RNAcentral lists this ribosomal RNA (685 nucleotides) under uncultured bacterium. Its description in RNAcentral is "bacterial SSU rRNA". It matches the Rfam family "Bacterial small subunit ribosomal RNA", at positions 61 to 754 of the family's 1533-position model. The record is from RNAcentral.